Non-coding RNA from Pelobates cultripes (western spadefoot toad), 456 nucleotides. The record is from the annotation of a GenBank genome assembly. NCBI's taxonomy places the organism in Eukaryota, Metazoa, Chordata, Amphibia, Anura, Pelobatidae.
CCUGUCAGACGCUGCCCGCUCGCGGCGAAAUCAGUUUUAUAACGCGGCGCAUGCGCGCCGACGUCAUGAUAGUUUUGCCGCGAAAAUUCAAACGCGGUCACGCUCCCGGACCUUUUGGGGGCGUGGCUUUAAAGUGACACACACAUCAGUAUAAAAGGGCAUCCCUGUCCACCCCUCAGUGCCCUAGUGUGGUUCUUGAUCGUUCCUCUGGUGCUCUUAUACUUAGUUAUCUGUUUUUCUGGUAUUUUGACCCUUGGCUUCCGUACUGACGAUUCUCCUAUCUGGCUCUCCGACUUUUGGCUUGGCUUUCUCGUUUAUCCCGAUUUCCGUACUCCCUUGAUCCUUGACUUUUCCUUUGACUAUCCUCUGACGUUAAGUCCGGCCACCCUAAGGUCCGGUAUACGUCCAUUUCUGGGUUACCAUCUGUGUGAAGGGGUCACUGUCGUGACACAGAGA